Molecule: ribosomal RNA, 1320 nt
Filed under: Boeremia strasseri
Lineage: Eukaryota; Fungi; Ascomycota; Dothideomycetes; Pleosporales; Didymellaceae
Description: LSU rRNA
Rfam family: Eukaryotic large subunit ribosomal RNA
Source: RNAcentral
ACAGGGAUUGCCCUAGUAACGGCGAGUGAAGCGGCAACAGCUCAAAUUUGAAAUCUGGCGUCUUUGGCGUCCGAGUUGUAAUUUGCAGAGGGCGCUUUGGCAUUGGCAGCGGUCCAAGUUCCUUGGAACAGGACGUCACAGAGGGUGAGAAUCCCGUACGUGGUCGCUAGCCUUUACCGUGUAAAGCCCCUUCGACGAGUCGAGUUGUUUGGGAAUGCAGCUCUAAAUGGGAGGUAAAUUUCUUCUAAAGCUAAAUACUGGCCAGAGACCGAUAGCGCACAAGUAGAGUGAUCGAAAGAUGAAAAGCACUUUGGAAAGAGAGUUAAAAAGCACGUGAAAUUGUUGAAAGGGAAGCGCUUGCAGCCAGACUUGCCUGUAGUUGCUCAUCCGGGUUUUUACCCGGUGCACUCUUCUAUGGGCAGGCCAGCAUCAGUUUGGGCGGUUGGAUAAAGGUCUCUGUCACGUACCUCCUCUCGGGGAGAACUUAUAGGGGAGACGUAAUGCAACCAGCCUGGACUGAGGUCCGCGCAUCUGCUAGGAUGCUGGCGUAAUGGCUGUAAGCGGCCCGUCUUGAAACACGGACCAAGGAGUCUAACAUCUAUGCGAGUGUUUGGGUGUCAAGCCCGAGCGCGUAAUGAAAGUGAACGGAGGUGGGAACCUUUCGGGGUGCACCAUCGACCGAUCCUGAUGUCUUCGGAUGGAUUUGAGUAAGAGCAUAGCUGUUGGGACCCGAAAGAUGGUGAACUAUGCUUGAAUAGGGUGAAGCCAGAGGAAACUCUGGUGGAGGCUCGCAGCGGUUCUGACGUGCAAAUCGAUCGUCAAAUUUGGGCAUAGGGGCGAAAGACUAAUCGAACUAUCUAGUAGCUGGUUCCUGCCGAAGUUUCCCUCAGGAUAGCAGUAACGUUUUCAGUUUUAUGAGGUAAAGCGAAUGAUUAGAGGCCUGGGGGUUGAAACAACCUUCACCUAUUCUCAAACUUUAAAUAUGUAAGAAGUCCUUGUUACUUAAUUGAACGUGGACAGUUGAAUGUAUCGUUACUAGUGGGCCAUUUUUGGUAAGCAGAACUGGCGAUGCGGGAUGAACCGAACGCGGGGUUAAGGUGCCAGAAUAUACGCUCAUCAGACACCACAAAAGGUGUUAGUUCAUCUAGACAGCAGGACGGUGGCCAUGGAAGUCGGAAUCCGCUAAGGAGUGUGUAACAACUCACCUGCCGAAUGAACUAGCCCUGAAAAUGGAUGGCGCUCAAGCGUAUUACCCAUACCCCGCCGCUGGGGCAAGAUUUAAGCCCCAGCGAGUAGGCAGGCGUGGAGGUCCGUGACGAA